GUCGCGCUGUAGUCUAGUGGUUGUGGUGCUGGGUGCCUGAUGAGCAGGGUGUGGGUUCGAUUCCCCCCCUCGACG
This 75-nucleotide transfer RNA is filed under the name Hordeum vulgare. RNAcentral's name for it is "tRNA-OTHER". The record is from RNAcentral. Lineage: Eukaryota; Viridiplantae; Streptophyta; Magnoliopsida; Poales; Poaceae.